GACGAACGCUGGCGGCGUGCCUAAUACAUGCAAGUUGAGCGCUGAAGGUUGGUACUUGUACCGACUGGAUGAGCAGCGAACGGGUGAGUAACGCGUGGGGAAUCUGCCUUUGAGCGGGGGACAACAUUUGGAAACGAAUGCUAAUACCGCAUAAAAACUUUAAACACAAGUUUUAAGUUUGAAAGAUGCAAUUGCAUCACUCAAAGAUGAUCCCGCGUUGUAUUAGCUAGUUGGUGAGGUAAAGGCUCACCAAGGCGAUGAUACAUAGCCGACCUGAGAGGGGGAUCGGCCCCAUUGGGACUGAGACACGGCCCAAACUCCUACGGGAGGCAGCAGUAGGGAAUCUUCGGCAAUGGACGAAAGUCUGACCGAGCAACGCCGCGUGAGUGAAGAAGGUUUUCGGAUCGUAAAACUCUGUUGGUAGAGAAGAACGUUGGUGAGAGUGGAAAGCUCAUCAAGUGACGGUAACUACCCAGAAAGGGACGGCUAACUACGUG
This 497-nucleotide ribosomal RNA is filed under the name uncultured bacterium. RNAcentral's name for it is "partial 16S ribosomal RNA". It matches the Rfam family "Bacterial small subunit ribosomal RNA", at positions 28 to 507 of the family's 1533-position model. The record is from RNAcentral.